This 446-nucleotide ribosomal RNA is filed under the name uncultured bacterium. Its description in RNAcentral is "bacterial SSU rRNA". It matches the Rfam family "Bacterial small subunit ribosomal RNA", at positions 330 to 793 of the family's 1533-position model. The record is from RNAcentral.
GCCAGACUCCUACGGGAGGCAGCAGUGGGGAAUAUUGCACAAUGGGGGAAACCCUGAUGCAGCGACGCCGCGUGAGCGAUGAAGUAUUUCGGUAUGUAAAGCUCUAUCAGCAGGGAAGAAAAUGACGGUACCUGACUAAGAAGCCCCGGCUAACUACAUGCCAGCAGCCGCGGUAAUACGUAGGGGGCAAGCGUUAUCCGGAUUUACUGGGUGUAAAGGGAGCGUAGACGGUCCUGCAAGCCAGAUGUGAAAGCCCGGGGCUCAACCCCGGGACUGCAUUUGGAACUGUAAGGCUAGAGUGCAGGAGGGGCAGGCGGAAUUCCUGGUGUAGCGGUGAAAUGCGUAGAUAUCAGGAGGAACACCGGUGGCGAAGGCGGCCUGCUGGACUGCAACUGACGUUGAGGCCCGAAAGCGUGGGGAGCAAACAGGAUUAGAUACCCGUGUAC